UUCAGAGAAUCCUUUCCUAUGGAGGAAUCGGAAGCAACCUUAAAGACACGCUACGUGUCUAAUUUUUGUUGGAGUGAAUAAAUAAAAAACAUUUUUUUUCCAUUUUCUUCUUUCAAGUUUUGGUGACUCUCUCUCUCUUCUCUCUUCUCUCUUCUCUCUCGACGGAAACGACUACAACCCAAUCCAUAGAAAUCAAUCGAUUCAAGGUGAAUCGAUUGAUUUUCCCGGCUUAAACACGAGAGUGAGAUAACGACGGCGGAUGGUGAGUCUGAUUGCCUUAAAGGGACGGCGGAGUCCACCGGCGAGCGAAUCGGACACACAAGGGUUUAAACAUCUCGAUGGAGAUACAGAGUCGCCAACCAGUAUGCGGCCAAGAAGCUCUCAAUCUCUCAGAGAAUGCAUUCUCUCAAAGGGAGCCUUCCAUGGUGUGACGUUGAACUGAGUUUAGCCUCUUCUUGCUUCCAGAGAACAGCUAUAGAUGUCCUAAAUCUCUUGUUUCUCUCAAUCUUGUGGUUGCUGCUAUAUGUCGUGUUAUUACUAGCUUCGUUUUGCUUGGUGUUAUCCGAUGAUGAUCAAGAGCCUUUGAUUUCUCAUUUCAAGAUUAGAGAGAGUGAUCGAUGGGAAGAUGAAGACUGAGGAAAGACCAUUUGAUCAAGUUAAGCAAGCCAUUACGCUUGGACUGACAAACCACCAUUGAAGCAACCAACCUUGACGCAGAUUUAUGACUUGGUGUCUUCUUUGUAUGAGUCUAGUUUAAGACAUGAAUGAGAGAGACGAGAGUUUAAUCUUUAUUUGCUUUGUUUUCGAUUUUCAGACAUGUUUAGGAUUUGAAAGUCUGUAUUUUUUUUUCUUUGUUAUGAUUACUGCAAGUAUCAGAAUGAGCACAUUAAUGUUUUUCAACUUGCAAAGCAGUUUCAGUUUUAUGAUUGAGAAACCUAUGAAGGUUUCUCUAGUGGAAGGUGAGUUUGGUUUAA
This is a long non-coding RNA of Camelina sativa (false flax), 974 nucleotides long. RefSeq lists it as uncharacterized. The record is from RefSeq and is a predicted model, not a curated record. NCBI's taxonomy places the organism in Eukaryota, Viridiplantae, Streptophyta, Magnoliopsida, Brassicales, Brassicaceae.